This 469-nucleotide ribosomal RNA is filed under the name uncultured Alphaproteobacteria bacterium. RNAcentral's name for it is "bacterial SSU rRNA". It matches the Rfam family "Bacterial small subunit ribosomal RNA", at positions 9 to 524 of the family's 1533-position model. The record is from RNAcentral. Lineage: Bacteria; Pseudomonadati; Pseudomonadota; Alphaproteobacteria.
GAGUUUGAUCUUGGCUCAGAACGAACGCUGGCGGCAGGCUUAACACAUGCAAGUCGAACGGGCCCUUCGGGGUCAGUGGCAGACGGGUGAGUAACGCGUGGGAACGUGCCCUUCAGUUCGGGAUAACCCAGGGAAACUUGGGCUAAUACCGGAUACGUGCGAGAGCAGAAAGAUUUAUCGCUGAAGGAUCGGCCCGCGUCUGAUUAGCUGGUUGGUGGGGUAAUGGCCCACCAAGGCGACGAUCAGUAGCUGGUCUGAGAGGAUGAUCAGCCACAUUGGGACUGAGACACGGCCCAAACUCCUACGGGAGGCAGCAGUGGGGAAUAUUGGACAAUGGGCGCAAGCCUGAUCCAGCCAUGCCGCGUGAGUGAUGAAGGCCUUAGGGUUGUAAAGCUCUUUCGUCCGGGACGAUAAUGACGGUACCGGAAGAAGAAGCCCCGGCUAACUUCGUGCCAGCCGCCGCCGUAAC